Molecule: ribosomal RNA, 266 nt
Filed under: uncultured soil bacterium
Lineage: Bacteria
Description: partial 16S ribosomal RNA
Rfam family: Bacterial small subunit ribosomal RNA
Source: RNAcentral
AGAAUCAACGCUGGCGGCGUGCCUAACACAUGCAAGUCGAACGCGAGAGUCCCGCAAGGGACAAUUGAGUGGCAAACGGGUGAGUAACACGUGGGUGACCUGCCUUCGAGUGGGGGAUAACGUUCCGAAAGGAACGCUAAUACCGCAUGACAUCCUGCUCUUGGAAGAGCGGAGAUCAAAGCUGGGGAUCGCAAGACCUGGCGCUUGAAGAGGGGCCCGCGCCUGAUUAGCUAGUUGGUGGGUAACGGCCUACCAAGGCGACGAUC